This 664-nucleotide long non-coding RNA is filed under the name Sus scrofa (pig). RNAcentral describes it as "lncRNA (ENSSSCG00070001503.1)". Lineage: Eukaryota; Metazoa; Chordata; Mammalia; Artiodactyla; Suidae. The record is from RNAcentral.
AUGGUUUUCUUCCUCUUCUCCAGAUUACAGAGUCUUUUAUUUCUGCUAAAGUUAAUAGGAGCAUUUCUGUUGCCUGCCAUUUUCCUCAUACCUCCAACAACUACCACCCUUCUCCCUCCUACUAUUUUCUUCUUAUUUCACUGAGAAACUAGAAGCCAGCAUAGUAUAAUUCCUUCAUCUUUCCAACUAAAUCUACCAGUCUCUUAGAAAUGUUAUCACAGAUGGACUCCCUUGUUUUUAUCUAAAGACAACUUUUCCACAUGAGCUCUGGUCCCAUCUCCCCAUCCUUUUCCAUGUACUCGUGGACUUGGCUCCAGUAAUAACCCCCUUUUUCUCAUGUAUUUAUCUCUCACUCCUAGAUAAUGCCCAUCAGUAUGGAAACAUAUGUAUGCAGAGCACUCAGGGCAGAGCCUGUGCACAGCAAAGGCUCAUUCAUACCGGUUAUUAGUAUUAUUACCAUCAUCAUCCUCUUUUUCUACCGGAUCACCCUUCCUGGGUUUUGUUAUACGUCAGUGUCUAUUCUCCCUCCUGAUGGUAACAGCAUCCCAACAGUGUUUUGGAGAAUCACUCCUCUGCUAUUAGAUGUACGAAGUAGUGGUACCUGUCUUCCUCUGGCUAACAGGUGGGCACACAUGCCCUAAAUUGGCCUGAUGCCUUUUCUCUG